This 201-nucleotide ribosomal RNA is filed under the name uncultured Rhodoplanes sp. RNAcentral's name for it is "partial 16S ribosomal RNA". It matches the Rfam family "Bacterial small subunit ribosomal RNA", at positions 113 to 332 of the family's 1533-position model. The record is from RNAcentral. Lineage: Bacteria; Pseudomonadati; Pseudomonadota; Alphaproteobacteria; Hyphomicrobiales; Nitrobacteraceae.
ACACGUGGGAACGUGCCCUUUGGUUCGGAACAACCCAGGGAAACUUGGGCUAAUACCGGAUAAGCCCGUACGGGGAAAGAUUAUCGCCGAAGGAUCGGCCCGCGUCUGAUUAGCUUGUUGGUGAGGUAACGGCUCACCAAGGCGACGAUCAGUAGCUGGUCUGAGAGGAUGAUCAGCCUCACUGGGACUGAGACACGGCCC